CCUACGGGUGGCAGCAGUGAGGAAUAUUGGUCAAUGGGAGGAAUCCUGAACCAGCCAUGCCGCGUGCAGGACGACGGCUCUACGAGUUGUAAACUGCUUUUGUACCGGGGUAAAAUGCUCUACGAGUAGGGUUUUGAAAGUACGGUACGAAUAAGGAUCGGCUAACUCCGUGCCAGCAGCCGCGGUAAUACGGAGGAUCCGAGCGUUAUCCGGAUUCAUUGGGUUUAAAGGGUGCGUAGGUUGUUUUAUAAGUUAGCGGUGAAAUACCGAUGCUCAACAUCGGGGCUGCCGCUGAUACUGUAGGACUAGAGAAGAGUUGCGGUAGGCGGAAUGUAUGGUGUAGCGGUGAAAUGCUUAGAGAUCAUACAGAACACCGAUUGCGAAGGCAGCUUACCAAACUAUAUCUGACGUUGAGGCACGAAAGCGUGGGUAGCAAACAGGAUUAGAUACCCCUGUAGUC
Molecule: ribosomal RNA, 460 nt
Filed under: uncultured bacterium
Lineage: Bacteria
Description: partial 16S ribosomal RNA
Rfam family: Bacterial small subunit ribosomal RNA
Source: RNAcentral